UCCCUUUAAAACGGCUGACUUCAUGAAGGUCUGAGGUAGGUGUUGAUUUGAUAUAAUUUUUUGCCCAGUGCUUGUAGUGUCCAAGUGAAGAAAUUUGAUGUAGAGUUGAUAAAUGCCAGAAGUAACUGUCUCCCUUAAUGUAGCUAAAUGCAUCAUCAUCUAAUUAGUAAGAUACAUCAGUGAUGA
RNAcentral lists this ribosomal RNA (186 nucleotides) under Marmota monax (woodchuck). Its description in RNAcentral is "Eukaryotic large subunit ribosomal RNA". It matches the Rfam family "Eukaryotic large subunit ribosomal RNA", at positions 2142 to 2327 of the family's 3401-position model. Lineage: Eukaryota; Metazoa; Chordata; Mammalia; Rodentia; Sciuridae. The record is from Rfam by way of RNAcentral.